AGGCCUGUAGCACGAAGAAGAACCUGUCAGCCUGCAGGAGCAAACAAGAAAUGUGCCAGUUUAGCUGACCUGGUGCCUACAGAAGCAACGCACUUUCAAGAAUAAAUGGUCUUUCAGCUUAUCGCCAGCAACUUUGCUGAAGAUAUCAUCCUUGAGAAACCACGUCUCUCUUCUUCCACUCCCAGAUUACUGCAGAAGUGAUCUACAAAGGCACUUCAUGGACCCCUUCAUUUAAAACAGAGGGCCAGUGGUAUUUCUCCGGAGGACCCAGCUUUGGGACACACCCUGAUUCUGAAACAGCUGGUUUCAGAGUGUUUUAUAGGGAAUACUAUUUAUGGGGGUUUCUGCUGGCAAGUGCUGGAGGUGGAGAAACUGUUCUGAAAUGAUGCCUUAGAGGUAGUGCAGCAGCAGUACUGCACCAGCAGCUCCUCCCCAUGAGCUCGGCUGCUCAUCCCUGCCCAAACAAAUCACGCGCUUCAUCUGCUCUUUAUAUAUUCUGCUACUGAUAAUAACUACGUAGCUAGAGUUCUCUUCUGAAAUUUUGAAAAAAAUAUGGUAUGAAUUAAGAAUCCUCCCUAAUUUUCAUGAAAAUAAGGAGAGAGACAUAAAUCUCACAUGAUAAUAAAGCUUUGUUAGAAAGGUAUUAUUUAGCUCUGCUUGUAGCUUUAUUCAAUCUGGACAAACCCAAAUAUAAUUUGAUCAUUUUUGAUUUAAAACACAGUUUUUCCAUAUUGGCAUUGUUUUAAUCCUAAAAGAGAUCUGUGUAAGUAAGCUGGGCUGUGACAGCCAUGUAUUAAAUCCUGGAAUUAGAAUUCAGGAUUUAUUGUUGUAGUAACGAAGCUCCAAGACACAAGCAUCUGGUAGCAUAGAGGUAUCUUCCCAAGUUAAUGCAACAAAACUAAAACCGGAAUAAUUCUCUAACAAAAGUAUGUACUGCUUCAGUAUGUAGUUUUUAUCAUUGAAAAGUGCAGUCUUUUGUAACUUGAAGAUAAAGAUUUUAAUGAGAAUUUUUGUGAACAUAUUACUUUCCUGUUAAAAUACUUGAAAUGCUUUGUUAAUCCUAGUAAAGCAGAAAAUGGAAUGUAAAGAUGAAUGGAAUUGAAAUAAUACUGUCCUCCUCUAUGGAAAAAUUACCGUAGAACUGAAUAAGAAUGAUGUGUUCUCUGCAGAAACUGUAAACACUAAGUAGAGUAUUACCAAGAAUUUCUACAAGGCAUGACUAAUUUAAUCCCUGUUAAAGUAAAUGGGUACUUUUCAUAAUUUUUGAAAAUAUGGGAGUACCUAAUCUGUAUUGCCAUAGCCAAGAUACCCACUUCUACUUCACUUUCAGAUUUGCAACCAUAUUGAUUGUUUUUAGCCAAGGACUAAAUGAAAAGGUGAUUAAAAUAAUGAACAAACAUUUCAAAAUACAGCUAAUGUAUUGGACCUGAUUCUUCCUCACUGCCAUAAAUGAUACCUUAUGGAGCAAGACCUACUUAUAUUUAUAUCUCUGGUUUGCUUUAGUGGUUGCAAAGGAAAUACUCCUACCUAUAAAAUCCAGCUUUUCGUGGCUAUCAUGUGACUUAAAGGCAUAACCUCCUAAAGAUGGCAGUCUGGUUUUGUAGAAUAAAUCCAGAUUCAGGGUAAGCUCUUUCAAAAUUCAGCAGAUUUUUGGUUGGAGUCCCACCUAUCUUAAAUGCUUAUCUUAUGAGAGGAUGAAUAACUCUUUGGCAGUGGCUAUUUCUCUCCCCGAUAAGAGGGUAUGCCUGAAUGUUCUUGUCUAUCAUUGUACCUAAGUUUUAGAGGCCUGAAGUAAGGAGAGAUUAGUUCUCCUUAAAGUGGCUAUGUUUUUUAGAGGAUAAAGAAAUGAAAAGUCAGUACAUUAUUUUUCUUACUUAAAUACCAGAAGAAAUAAUGAAAAAAGACUAUUUUAAUAUUGUCUCACUGUAGCUGCCUAUUGUAUUAAUACCACCACUUCAUAAAGAGCCCAAAUGUAUUUAUGUAACCUACAGAUAUUCUGAAUGACAAUCUAAAAUUAAACAUGAAUAUAGAAAAAAAUAUUGGAUGUAUAAUCAUUUCAGUAUAUAAGCGCAUUCUAAAUCGUACUAGACAAUAAUCUAGUAUCAUAUGAGAAAAACCAAAGCAACUAGACUUUUGAUUCACAAAAAACUAACACAGUCAAAAAUAAAGUCCCAAAUGACAAAACACAAUUUUACAUAGUAAUUUUCUACUUAAAGAAAACUUAAAAAAAAAUACUUAAAGGAGUAUUAUCUUCUACUUAAAAAAAAACUUACUGGCAAUAAUUUAUGCCAGUAUGUUUAUAUCGCUAUGGUCAUAUUGAUAAAAGUUUCUAGAGAAAAGAGUACACAGGAAUAAUUAUGUUAUAAAAGUCUUACAGUAUAAAUACCAGGUUAUAAUCAAACUAUUAUAUUUCCUUCUGCAGAGAAGCCCUACUGAAAAUGAAAGAAUGCCUGCAUCAUUUGCCACCUGCAUGAGGGAUAGCUCCUUCUGAAACCACAAACUGAUCUCAACAACCUGAAGCUUAGCCUGGCUUCAGAUAGCUGCAUUUGUAGGAGAUGAUUUUCUUUAUAAUGGAACAUACCAAAGUGCUGGAUCUGAAUAUUACUGAAGCAUGUGUUCUACCAGUAUGAACCAUUCUUCUAAUUCCUUAUUUCUGUAUUUUACCCUGAAAUCACUCAUGUGAAUAAUGAUUGCCACAUAGAACUGUGUGAAAUGCUCAAAAAGAAGUCUCAUUCCAUGGAAAAAACAUUUUGCUUUCAAUUGGUUUUGUUUUUAAAUCAACUGGAAGCCCAAACCAAAUUCCUUUUAACACUUUUAGAAUGCCUGAGCUGAUUUAUGGUUUCAUUUCAACACAAUGAAAAGAGUACUAAUGACAGGAAAUAAGGUAAAACUUGAGAGAUUUUGGCCAGUAUUCAUGUGGAGUUUGGAGCGUUACUAACUCUGAAGUGUGUAAAACUAGUCCAGGAAGGAAGGAAAUAUCCAUGCUAGCCUUUCUGAGGCAAAAUUAUUUCACAAAACUUAAAGUUUUUGCUAUAUUGAUAAAACAAAAAUGCUAGGGUCAUACCACCCUGCUGACCAUACAAGGCUCCCUCUUGAAUUAAAUGCUCAGCAAUUAAACAUUGGAGACUCUGUAAAUACUGUUUGAUAAAAAUGGCUGGUGCCUGUCCCAGAUAAGGUCCUCUCUGAAACAUAGUUAGACUUUGAUAGCUGGAUUAACACACACUUUGAGUAAACAGUGAUGAUGACCUUCUAGAUAUUACUACUGGCAAUUUCUUUGUGCUCACGCUUCUGGAACUCUUCUGUUGUGUUAGGAAGAGAGAGCAGGACAAAUUAUCCACAAGCUCUAUGUUUAAUUCAUCAUCUUAAAUAGGUUCCUUUGCUGCAUCAGGAGCUGCCUUUCUAACAGAAUGCAUUCUGCAUCGGGAUAAACUGUAUAUCCGCUUAGACUGAACAUUGUCUGGGCUUUUUUUCUGAGCAUAUUACGCAAAAAUGGAAGUGUUCAUGCACUGUUAGGAACCUUCCUCAUAAAAUACAACAUUUCCUGAUAAUUAAAAAAUUAUUUUGUAUUACUCCAUUCUUAUAUCUGGGCUGAAUACCUGCUAUCCAGGAAACAUAUUUCAGGUACUUGAUUUGAGUUGUGGCACAUUAUGAAAUGGCUAAUAUAAUCAACAAAUCACGCAGGACAAUAUAAUUUCUCAUUAAAAUUUACAUUCAGGUGUAAGGUUUGCAGGCGUUAUUUCACACUGUGCACAACAAAAUACUCCAUUUAACGAUCCAGUUAUACAAAUACUUAUUUUCGGGAAGUAUUUUACGCUCUUCAUACACGUCCAUUAAAAGUAUAACUCUUGCA
Molecule: long non-coding RNA, 3850 nt
Organism: Dromaius novaehollandiae (emu)
Lineage: Eukaryota; Metazoa; Chordata; Aves; Casuariiformes; Dromaiidae
Exons: 2
Source: RefSeq, a predicted model, not a curated record